AUUGAACGCUGGCGGCAUGCUUUACACAUGCAAGUCGAACGGUAACAGGCCGCAAGGUGCUGACGAGUGGCGAACGGGUGAGUAAUGCAUCGGAACGUGCCCAGUCGUGGGGGAUAACUACUCGAAAGAGUAGCUAAUACCGCAUACGAUCUAUGGAUGAAAGCGGGGGACCGUAAGGCCUCGCGCGAUUGGAGCGGCCGAUGUCAGAUUAGGUAGUUGGUGGGGUAAAGGCUCACCAAGCCAACGAUCUGUAGCUGGUCCGAGAGGACGACCAGCCACACUGGGACUGAGACACGGCCCAGACUCCUACGGGAGGCAGCAGUGGGGAAUUUUGGACAAUGGGCGCAAGCCUGAUCCAGCAAUGCCGCGUGAAGGAAGAAGGCCUUCGGGUUGUAAAAUGCUUUUGUACGGAACGAAACGGCUCUGGUUAAUACCCGGGGCUAAUGACGGUACCGUAAGAAUAAGCACCGGCUAACUACGUG
This 482-nucleotide ribosomal RNA is filed under the name uncultured bacterium. RNAcentral's name for it is "partial 16S ribosomal RNA". It matches the Rfam family "Bacterial small subunit ribosomal RNA", at positions 30 to 507 of the family's 1533-position model. The record is from RNAcentral.